AAUAAUGCCACAUGUUUCACUGAUGACUUUGGUAUACCAUGGAAGCGCACAUAUGGAGCGUCUGAUCAACCACAUCAAUUAAUGAGGCUUGAUCAGACGCUCCUUGUUUUUUUGAUUUUAUUAAAUUCUGUUUUAAUUUCUUUUAUUUUCUUUAUUUUCAAAAAUUAAUAACUUCUUCAUUUUAAAUCCAAAAAAUAUGGGACCAAUUGCAUUCUUCU
This 218-nucleotide long non-coding RNA is filed under the name Lathyrus oleraceus (garden pea). RNAcentral's name for it is "Pisum sativum (pea) long non-coding RNA (PSAT_LNC024986)". Lineage: Eukaryota; Viridiplantae; Streptophyta; Magnoliopsida; Fabales; Fabaceae. The record is from RNAcentral.